ACCUCCAGGAACGUUUUCGCUUGUCCAACUCCAACCGAUUAACAGCAUAGCAUGGUCACUGGGAUAUGGCAUUCUGUUGAUAUGUCUAUUAAUUUGCACAAAGUUUGUCACUUCCAACUCAAACAUUAGUAUUCAUUGUCUCUACUUUGGGAGAAGAAAAAGAGAGAAAAAAAAAAAAGAGUAAUACUAUACCUAAAAGCAGAGCAAUUUUGGCACUGCCCCAUUCGUUAAUGGUUGGAUCACUCUUCAUUAUCUCAGUGGCCAUGUCUCUCAUCAAAGGAUGCAUCUUCAAGCAAUCCACUCCAUCAUUCACAACACAAUCCAGUAAACAAGCCUUCUCGAGUGCUUUGAGUAUGAGGAUAGAGCAAUGCAAGAAGCUGGUCUUCCACCUUUCAUUUCUCAAGCCAUAAAAACUGCUUUUCAUUACCUCAAAAACCUUGCCAUCUG
Long non-coding RNA from Coffea eugenioides, 447 nucleotides. RefSeq lists it as uncharacterized. The record is from RefSeq and is a predicted model, not a curated record. Lineage: Eukaryota; Viridiplantae; Streptophyta; Magnoliopsida; Gentianales; Rubiaceae. The transcript is spliced from 3 exons.